Molecule: long non-coding RNA, 323 nt
Filed under: Lathyrus oleraceus (garden pea)
Lineage: Eukaryota; Viridiplantae; Streptophyta; Magnoliopsida; Fabales; Fabaceae
Description: Pisum sativum (pea) long non-coding RNA (PSAT_LNC007903)
Source: RNAcentral
AACAGGGACGAGAGGGGCGAGUUCGUUGAGAUUGCCGUCGUUGGAAAGUUUGAGUUCGUGAGGUUGGGGAGAGGGUGAAGGAAGACAACAUCUGUGUUCUCCGUUUCCAUUUUUUUGUUUUUUUUCCUUUUUAAUUUUAUUUAUUUAAUUUAAUUUGUUUUUAACACAAAAACCAUAAAAAAUGUUUAUUUGUUUUUUUAUUUUAACUCUUUUUUAUUUUUAUCCCGGUUUAUAUAUUCAACGUAGCAGCACAAUGUUAAAUAACCCUGAGUGGUCUGGUGGAGGAGGGCAGUGUUCAUAUUCUUGAGUGGGGAGGGUUCAAU